Long non-coding RNA from Lemur catta (Ring-tailed lemur), 1393 nucleotides. RefSeq lists it as uncharacterized. NCBI's taxonomy places the organism in Eukaryota, Metazoa, Chordata, Mammalia, Primates, Lemuridae. The record is from RefSeq and is a predicted model, not a curated record. The transcript is spliced from 2 exons.
CCAGCUGGCCUGGAGGCUGACAACAGGGGCCAAAGCCUAAGAGGAAGUGGCAGGACAGGAGGGGAGGGGACUCGUGGGGCCAGGUGGUUGAAGCCACACGGAGGCCCAGGGCAGGGCGGCCUCUCAAGGGCCCAGGGGGACGUGCUGCAGGGGCCCUCUCCCCUUCCCACCCACAGAGCACUCGGUGGCCGCGGGACACUCCCUCGGGGGCCUGGCCAGCUGCAGAUGCCCGUUACUCCACUGUUCCACCCUGUCCCUCAGGGGCACAGCUGGGCGGGAGUGUCCAGCAAGAGCAACUUCGUUUAGAAAACGACGGCAAGUGCGUGUUAUUCACCCAGAAUUUUAUAAAGGACAUCGACUUCCUCAAGGAACCCUGCUUGUUUGGACACGCGAAAUGGCCGCAGCCAACGGUCAGGGGACAAGUGUUAAUGGGUAAAUAAGAGACGCCUUUCCUCGGCUCCUCCCGGAAAGAGACGGUUUUCCAAAGCCCUGGCAGAUCACAUACUGCAAAUGUUUCACAGAGACGCCGCCAGACCCUGUUGUUUUUGACAACAGUGACGAGGAGAAACAAAGCGCUUGCAGACGGCUCCCUCCCGCGUGACUCAGCGUGGCAGGGGCUCUUCCCACCCUCACAGGCGGCACUUUCAUCUCCCAGAAGUCACUUCAGACACUGUCUUCACUGCCCACCCCGUGUUCAUCCAGGGGCUACGCUGGGGAGGGGGCUCCAAAGACCCCUCUAGGGACGAGGAUGCCCAAGACAAGGGGCGCUGGCUCUGGCACCCCCACUGGGUGACUGCUAAGCUCGCACCGGGGCUCUCGGCAGGAGAAACAGGGCAGGAACCCCGGGGAAAGGUCCCCUGAGCUGGAGUGGGGCCAGGCCUGCUCCUCUUCCGGGGUUCCUGACAAGGGGAGCCUGCGGAAGCCGCCACACAGCAGGGGGAGGUGGGAACACGGAAGGGGCCCCCUACCCCAGUUCUGUGUCCCCUGGGUCACUCCAGAAAGGACCUCAGGGAACGUGGGGCUCUCAGGAAGGAGUGCAGAGAGGGGCAGAGGCCCAGGGAUGCUGCCAGCUGCCGGGUCACAUUGGCUGCCCCGCUGGGAGGGCAGUUGGGCAAAGGAAGACUUGGAUUCUCCGUCUCUGAGAAGCUGGAUAUUAUCCGAACAAAACCAACACGACAUCUGUCACAGUUAUGGGCCACCAGGGUCUGCUGGAACCAGAGACCAGAGAGAGCCACCGCCCACCAAUGCCAAAACCAUCACUCUGCAGACAUGAGACUGGCUGGUAACCUGAGAAACCCUCUGCCUUCCUGUCCUUCCUCCUGCCCCCUCCCAAAUAUCUGGUACCAACUCAUACUAGAAAAUUAUUCAUUGUUUAUCUGAGAUUCAAAUUUAA